This 340-nucleotide unclassified non-coding RNA is filed under the name Hevea brasiliensis (rubber tree). The record is from RNAcentral. Lineage: Eukaryota; Viridiplantae; Streptophyta; Magnoliopsida; Malpighiales; Euphorbiaceae.
GAGCAUGGUCAUUACAAGAGCCAUAGGAAGUUUUCAAAAACUGAAACCAUAAGGUGGCAUUCAAUUAUUCUAUAAAUCCACGUCAAAUCCAAUACACUUCAAGAUAGAACACUGGAGCAUUCAAGGUAUUCUGUGUCUUCCUAGCAUAAACGGACACCAUUGCAGAUGUCUAAAGAAUCACAAUUAGCCUUGAUUCCCAAAAUAAAAAUAUCAGUUAGCUCUUUACCUCCAACAACAAAACUAAUCUUCUAUAAACAGUGGUCUGCUCAAAGCAAAAAUUUUUAGGCUUUACAGUACCAAAAAGCUAAAACCUUAUGCUCAUAUAUUGAAUAAAGAUUGA